UACGAAGGGGGCGAGCGUUGUUCGGAUUUACUGGGCGUAAAGGGCGCGUAGGCGGCGCCAGAAGUCAGGCGUGAAAGCCCCGGGCUCAACCUGGGAGGUGCGCUUGGGACUCUGGUGCUGGAGUUCGGGAGAGGAGCGUGGAAUUCCCAGUGUAGAGGUGAAAUUCGUAGAUAUUGGGAAGAACACCAGUGGCGAAGGCGGCGCUCUGGACCGAGACUGACGCUGAGGCGCGAAAGCGUGGGGAGCAAACAGG
RNAcentral lists this ribosomal RNA (253 nucleotides) under uncultured bacterium. RNAcentral describes it as "partial 16S ribosomal RNA". It matches the Rfam family "Bacterial small subunit ribosomal RNA", at positions 524 to 776 of the family's 1533-position model. The record is from RNAcentral.